UGAAGAAGAUCGAGGAGGAGACAGGGACCAGAUUACCAUCUCCUCGGUGUAUGACGUAACCAUUUACAACAGUGAGAGGACCGUCACGGUGAAGGGCAGCAUGGAGGCGUGUUGUAAUGCCGAGGUGGAGAUCACGAAGAAAUUGAGAGAAGCCACGAGAAUGACAUUGUUGCUAUGAACCAACAAGCCAAUCUUUUCCCACCUUGAGUGCUUUGGGCAUCUUCUCCUCGGGUCUGCCGGUGCUGCCCCCCUGCUGCUGGACCACGUGGUACAGUGCC
This is a long non-coding RNA of Thalassophryne amazonica, 278 nucleotides long. RefSeq lists it as uncharacterized. The transcript is spliced from 3 exons. The record is from RefSeq and is a predicted model, not a curated record. NCBI's taxonomy places the organism in Eukaryota, Metazoa, Chordata, Actinopteri, Batrachoidiformes, Batrachoididae.